UAGAAUACGAAGAGCCACAUGUACCCUAGCGCCGCAUAGUGAGGUGAUUCAGUACUAAAUUGUCUACUAUGUAGAAGCCUUGAGCAUCCUGAACAAGUUUGCUGAACACCGCAACCCUCUAGCAGGUCGGAAUCGUGAGAUUAGUUGAGUUUGGAAUACCACAAAUUGUGUGCCCACAAGCGCCACGUAGCGGUAAAAUUUCACACUGAAUUUGCCACCAUACAGUAGCCUUUGACCUUCUGAACAAGUUUGCUGAAAACCGCAAUUUUCUAGGUGAUGCUAAACUUUUCGGGAGGUGUUGCAAUAUUCAAACUGGGUGUUGCAAUACUCAGUAAAGCGAUUCCAAACUUAUGACGGCUGGGAUCCACAGAAAAUAAUAAAAUAAUCGGUCUAGCUUCGCCAUUGUUGCUGUGCCAAUCACUGAUGCCCGGGGAAGCGACUCCACCAGAACCCUAAUUGACAACACGUUUAUUAACGGACAGGCGACAACGGCUUUACUUCCUCAUGCGAUGAAAGGCGUGAUCCCAGAGAUUUUUCGCCUCAGCGUGGUUGGCGGAGAUGUUACCAACUACG
This is a long non-coding RNA of Wyeomyia smithii (pitcher-plant mosquito), 573 nucleotides long. RefSeq lists it as uncharacterized. NCBI's taxonomy places the organism in Eukaryota, Metazoa, Arthropoda, Insecta, Diptera, Culicidae. The record is from RefSeq and is a predicted model, not a curated record. The transcript is spliced from 3 exons.